Molecule: ribosomal RNA, 497 nt
Filed under: uncultured bacterium
Lineage: Bacteria
Description: partial 16S ribosomal RNA
Rfam family: Bacterial small subunit ribosomal RNA
Source: RNAcentral
GAGGAAGGAGGGGAGCGUGCCUAGUACAUGCAAGUCGAGCGAACAGACGAGGAGCUUGCUCCUCUGACGUUAGCGGCGGACGGGUGAGUAACACGUGGAUAACCUACCUAUAAGACUGGGAUAACUUCGGGAAACCGGAGCUAAUACCGGAUAAUAUAUUGAACCGCAUGGUUCAAUAGUGAAAGACGGUUUUGCUGUCACUUAUAGAUGGAUCCGCGCCGCAUUAGCUAGUUGGUAAGGUAACGGCUUACCAAGGCAACGAUGCGUAGCCGACCUGAGAGGGUGAUCGGCCACACUGGAACUGAGACACGGUCCAGACUCCUACGGGAGGCAGCAGUAGGGAAUCUUCCGCAAUGGGCGAAAGCCUGACGGAGCAACGCCGCGUGAGUGAUGAAGGUCUUCGGAUCGUAAAACUCUGUUAUUAGGGAAGAACAAAUGUGUAAGUAACUAUGCACGUCUUGACGGUACCUAAUCAGAAAGCCACGGCUAACUACGUG